Molecule: RNA transcript, 1660 nt
Organism: Tribolium castaneum (red flour beetle)
Lineage: Eukaryota; Metazoa; Arthropoda; Insecta; Coleoptera; Tenebrionidae
Exons: 2
Source: RefSeq, a predicted model, not a curated record
UCGUGCAGUGGCGAUGGGCAAGGUAGUAGUGCUUUCUUCCAGAUUACUCUACCAUUAUUACAGCAGUCAUAAUCACACAUGUCGAUGGCUUAUCGGUUGACAUUCAUUCUGUGCUUUGAAUUAAUAUUUCAUGGACAAACCCUCGCUUUGCCGUUAAUUGGGCGAUUUGUUGUAAAUACUGCAUUGCUUUCUAAUUUUCCUGGUAUUCGUAAAUCUUGCCCUGGUAUGCCACGUCGGGAUCACCAUUCUGUGCGGGCCAACUGUGCGGUGUGAGUGUGCAGCAUUUCUUUUAAUUGGAGCGACUUACUCUUGAUUGACGAUUUGAAAGGCGACUGAAUGUACACUACACUACGUAUAUACCAAGUGGACCUUCGUCUCGAUGUGUGGUGCUGUGGUGUGUCGCAGUGGGAUUCAAUAUAGCAUAGCAUCUGAUUACGGCAUCUCUCUGCAGUUGCGCAAACGAAUUCUUCCGGUGAACGUGGUGUUUUGUGCCGUCGAAAGCUCCUCGCAACUUCAAUGGGCCGCUGUGGUGAGUAGAUCAGCAUUCCAACAACCUACGGCUUCUUAUUUUUAUUUCCGCCACCUUGUCACAAAAUUGUUUAGUGCUGAUUUGACACGAAUUGUAACGCCGCCGCCGCUGAUUCUCGCGGCCGGACGCCGCCCCCACGUGGCGGCGGCGGCGGCCGGCGCAAUUGGAGUGAUUGCAAUUUGCAAACGAAGAAAUUGCGAGAUGUGAAACCAGCAGCUGACCGUGGGACAGGCGCCCGUGAAAAAGUCGCACGGUCUUUGCGCAAGCGUAAUACCACCAAAUAUCUACACAGAUACCGGGGCAACACAAACACAAACGCUCAAAACGGGACCCAAUUCCCAUCUAUUAUUGGAUGCCGAUUUGGGAAGAGCCGCCAGAGACAAGGUUUGCACACCGUAAUCGCUAUAAAUGCCCCAUGAGAAAAAAAUACGAGCUUUUUCCAAACUUGUGGGGCUGAGUUGGUAGUUAACAUUUGACAAUAUAAAAAAAUGAUUAAAAAGUCAAAAUAUUAAAACUUCAACAUUAAAACAUAGAAGGAAAAUCAAACCAAGUGAAACAAUCGGAAGUAUCACUUUCAGACUGUUUAUUUAAUUGUCUUAACACUCGCGAGAUUAAAAUUUAAACAAAGUUGAGGAAUCAAAUUUGCCUAAAGAUUUCUUUUGUUAAUAAAUGAGCGGAAUAGGAUCAAACAGGCAAAAAUAAUACAUAAAUGACCUGAUUUGUUAACUUUUGAAUUAAUACAGUGAAACCUUUUACUCCGACCAUGCCUCAUCCGAACAUCGUGUAACCUGAAAACAAGUGCAUAGAGUUAAAGUCCAAACAUAUUAAACCGAAAGAAAAGUAAAUACAAUUUUUUUUCUGAUCUUGAAUAAAAACAAUUAUUAAAUUCAGACUGUUUACUUAAAUCUCUUAACACAUGCGAGAUUUUUUUUAACCAAGUUAACGAAUCAAAUUUGCCGAAGUUUUUUUACUAAAAAAAGAGCUGUAUAGGAUCAAAUAAGCAAAUAUGAGACAUAAAUGUUCUGUUUUAUUUGUUAGCUCUUCGAUUAAUACAGUGAAACCUUUUAACUCCGACCAUGCCAUCAGAACCUCGUGUAACCCGAAAAACAAGCGCAUCGAGUUACAGUCCGA